AGCGAACGCUGGCGGCAGGCCUAAAACAUGCAAGUCGAGCGCCGUAGCAAUACGGAGCGGCAGACGGGUGAGUAACACGUGGGAACGUGCCCUUUGGUUCGGAACAACACAGGGAAACUUGUGCUAAUACCGGAUAAGCCCUUACGGGGAAAGAUUUAUCGCCAAAGGAUCGGCCCGCGUCUGAUUAGCUAGUUGGUGGGGUAACGCCCACCAAGGCGACGAUCAGUAGCUGGUCUGAGAGGAUGAUCAGCCACACUGGGACUGAGACACGGCCCAGACUCCUACGGGAGGCAGCAGUUAGGAAUCUUGGACAAUGGGCGCAAGCCUGAUCCAGCCAUGCCGCGUGAGUGAUGAAGGCCCUAGGGUUGUAAAGCUCUUUCACCCGCGACGAUGAUGACGGUAGCGGGAGAAGAA
This 414-nucleotide ribosomal RNA is filed under the name uncultured bacterium. RNAcentral describes it as "bacterial SSU rRNA". It matches the Rfam family "Bacterial small subunit ribosomal RNA", at positions 29 to 489 of the family's 1533-position model. The record is from RNAcentral.